GCUCUCGUCAGGAUGGUGAAGCUGUUCAUCGGAAACCUGCCCCGGGAGGCCACAGAGCAGGAGAUCCGCACACUCUUCGAGCAGUACGGGAAGGUGCUGGAAUGUGACAUCAUUAAGAACUACGGCUUCGUGCACAUAGAGGACAAGACGGCGGCAGAAGAUGCCAUCCGCAACCUGCACCACUACAAGCUGCACGGGGUGAACAUCAAUGUGGAAGCCAGCAAGAAUAAGAGCAAAACCUCCACAAAGUUACAUGUGGGCAACAUCAGUCCCACUUGUACCAACAAAGAGCUUCGGGCCAAGUUUGAGGAGUACGGUCCAGUCAUCGAGUGUGACAUCGUGAAAGAUUAUGCCUUCGUACACAUGGAGCGGGCAGAGGAUGCGGUCGAGGCCAUCAGGGGCCUCGACAACACAGAGUUUCAAGGCAAAAGAAUGCACGUGCAAUUGUCUACAAGCCGCCUUCGGACUGCCCCUGGGAUGGGAGACCAGAGUGGCUGCUAUCGGUGUGGGAAGGAGGGGCACUGGUCUAAAGAGUGCCCAGUAGAUCGUACGGGUCGCGUAGCAGACUUUACUGAGCAGUAUAAUGAACAAUACGGAGCCGUGCGCACGCCUUACACCAUGGGCUAUGGGGAAUCCAUGUAUUACAACGAUGCAUAUGGAGCACUCGACUACUAUAAGCGUUACCGGGUUCGCUCUUAUGAGGCAGUGGCAGCAGCAGCAGCAGCUUCUGCAUACAACUACGCAGAACAGACCAUGUCCCAUCUGCCUCAAGUCCAGAACACAGCUGUGACCAGUCACCUCAACUCUUCUGUUGAUCCGUACGACAGACACCUGUUGCCGAACUCAGGUGCUGCUGCCUCCUCAGCUAUGGCUGCUGCUGCUGCCACCACUUCCUCCUAUUAUGGAAGGGACAGGAGCCCCAUUCGUCGUGCUGCAGCUGUGCUCCCCACAGUUGGAGAGGGCUACGGUUAUGGGCCAGACAGUGAGCUGUCUCAGGCUUCAGCAGCUGCACGGAAUUCUCUGUAUGACAUGGCCCGGUAUGAACGGGAGCAGUAUGUGGACCGAGCGCGGUAUUCAGCCUUUUAAAAACUGGAGGUGAGAGUGGGGUAGGUGUGGUUAAAAGAUCCCAUUUAGUUCCCUUGAAAGAGACCCAUGCUGUAGGGGGGAAGCUAAAGCCACCUGUUUGCUGUCAGGACAUUAGUAUCCAAAAAGUAUAAAUUACUUGUUAGAGAGAAGAAACUGAGUUUGUUAGUGAGAAUACUGUUAUUUAAGUAAGUGUAAGCUAAUCUGGGUUACAGAAACAUAGUUAAGAGAGCUAACAUUUGUUAAGUGCCCUGUGUAUAUAUCAUAUCAUUUCACCUACACAAUAAGCCUUUAAGAUAUGUUCUGUUAUACGGAGAAGGGAGCUAAGCCUCAGGCUAAGUACUUUGCCUGAAGUCAUCUGGUAACUGAGAAAUAGAGCCAGAAUUCAAACUCAGGCCUGGCUGAUUCCUAAACCCAUUAUCUUUCCACUAAAGUCACUGUGGUAUAAGCUGAAGAGUACAGGUUCAGGAGUUAAUAAUGUCACAGUGAGAAUUUUAACUACACCUUUAUAGACUUCCAAUUGGCUAAUAAAAAUACUACUUGGGUUAUUAACCUUUAUCAGAGGAACCUCUUCUAAUAUAUAGCUAUAAGCCAAAUAAAGUUUAUAAAAUUUUAGGUGUUUAGUUAUAAGACACUUGCUUGAAAUCAGAGUGUUUGGAUGCCACUGUCCCAUGAAGUCCCUUAUUAGUAAUCUGGAGCAGCAGUCGCCAACCUUUUGGACCUACAGACCACUGGUUGGCAACCGCUGAUCUGGAGCAUCUCAUUGUACAUGGGCACGUAAGCUGUAUCUCUGCAUAGUCAGUGAUACUUUCAUGUUCAGCCUGAUGCUUCCCUUUUUUUCCAGCAAGUUUUGUUUGGUUUGGUUUGAGAGGAACAUUUAAGGAACUAGAUAAACAGGGUAAUUUUUGAUGUAUAUAAAAUCCCACUGGUGACCCUGGGAAUUUAAUUUUUCCUACUUCAGAAAAUGUAUGCAAAGAUGCUAGAAGGGCAAGAGUAAUUAGAUUGAUAAGUCUCUUCAAGUAGAAAUGGUAUGACAACUUUCUAUUCUGGUUUUCCUUGUACCUUGAAAUUGAGAAUCACUUGAAUGGGAGGCCUAGUAGCAAAGUUAAACUUAGUUACCACUGAGUUUCCAGGGUUCCUAACUUAUCCCUUUGGUACAUGUUUUGUCAUGUAGAAGAAAACAAAGCAGUAGGAACUGCCCUUUUUCAUAGUGAGAAGCAAAUUUGGCAUGAACUUACGGCAAAUGAUACCCUUAUGACCAUGAGACCAUGACAAGACUGGGAUCUCCUGAGACCACUGGGCAGUACUGUGUUCAUGUGCAUGAAGUUGAUAACCUUACAACUUGUGUAGUUUGCCAUUACUUUUUACUUUUAAUACAGCUGAAUCUGCCAUGAAAUGGGAUAUGCCUCUAAAAUAAGGUGGUAUUAUCUGUCAGAUAACUUCUUUCUCUUGAAUGUUUCAAAGUUAAAUAUUAAGUUAGUAUAUGUGAUCUUUAAAGGAUAUUGCCUAGUUAUUUUAAAGUGAAUUUUGAGUUCAAGCAGUGGUUGUUCAACUAACCUCUUUUUAACGAUGACUUUUAAAGAAACUUACCUUCCAGGUGUGAACCUCAAAUGGACUGAAUAACCCUGAGUUGGUUGCAGUCCCAGGAGCCUGAUGGUAAUGAGGCUGCCAGGAUGAAAUACUCCAGAACUGUUGGGGAUCCAAUUUCGGGUCUCACUCUAGCAGAACUGAUUCAACAACGUCACAGCUUUUGAAGUCCAUUGGCACAGAUCAAGACCAAGAUUUGGCCCUUUGUCUGUAAUAAGUAGAGGAGCUUGGUGACAGGACCAGGGCCCUUGUACUCGGAGCCAGGCUGCUCUCCAGGCAUUGUAUAAGCCUCUUGUGUUGUGCUCUCUUUCAGGUAGGAUAAUUGUGGACUGAACCCUCGGGCUGCGGUCAUAUAUGAGAACUUGCUUCACGCGGUCCCCUUUGCCGGGAUGUUUCCAUUGCUUCAUGUUUCAGUAAACAAAGGAGUUUGUGACCAACUAUGUUUUCCUUCUUAAUUUAAUUCUUCUAAGUUGACUUUUCUUUCCUCCUAAUAUGAGGGUCUGUAGCCUUUCAUUCUAUUCCUUAUAUUCUCAGCCUUUGAGCAGCACUAGGUAAGGAUUAUGCUGGCAUCCCCUUUUUCCAAUACAGUGGAACCCCUCUUAUCUUGGUUUCCAUAGGAGUUGAAUCCUUCCUCCUGUCUACCUGAAACAUCUCCUUAGCCUUUAAAAUGACCAUUUAGUGGCAAGCAACCUUUUCCUCUUCUGUUAGCUCUGGAUUUAACAUUGAAGCUAAUCCUCUGAAAUUGCUAGGACCACUGGGGUGGGGUUGGGGGGUGUUUUGUUUGUUGUUUUGUUUUUUUUUUAUGUCUGACGUGAUCGUGGUACAGCAUUUGCUGAAAUUUAGCCUUGUUUUGCUCCACUCCUCCCAUUUUUUAAAAAUAUUUUGACAAAUAAACGUUUCUAACACUUAAGUA
Molecule: RNA transcript, 3583 nt
Organism: Myotis brandtii (Brandt's bat)
Lineage: Eukaryota; Metazoa; Chordata; Mammalia; Chiroptera; Vespertilionidae
Gene: RBM4B
Gene name: RNA binding motif protein 4B
Exons: 3
Source: RefSeq, a predicted model, not a curated record